This 404-nucleotide ribosomal RNA is filed under the name Chirixalus doriae (Doria's Asian treefrog). RNAcentral describes it as "Chiromantis doriae (Doria's Asian treefrog) partial 16S ribosomal RNA". It matches the Rfam family "Bacterial large subunit ribosomal RNA", at positions 1835 to 2459 of the family's 2925-position model. Lineage: Eukaryota; Metazoa; Chordata; Amphibia; Anura; Rhacophoridae. The record is from RNAcentral.
CUUGCUUAAUAUAAGAGGUCCAGCCUGCCCAGUGAAAAUUUAACGGCCGCGGUACCCUGACCGCGCGAAGGUAGCAUAAUCACUCGUUCUUUAAAUAGGGACUUGUAUCAAUGGCAUCACGAGGGUCGCACUGUCUCCUCCCCCUGAUCAGUGAACCUGAUCUCUCCGUGAAGAAGCGGGGAUGAAAAUAUAAGACGAGAAGACCCCAUGGAGCUUUAAACCCAAAGCAAUCUAAUCAAAUAAAUCCUUAUAUAAUUUAAGUAUGCAUAACGGCUUUAGGUUGGGGUGACCGCGGGGCAAAAACAAACCCCCACAACGAAAAGAAAUAAACCUUUAUUUAAGAGUUACUACUCUAAGAAUUAGCACACUAACGAACAAUGACCCGAUAAUCGAUCAAUGGACCA